GACGAACGCUGGCGGCGUGCUUAACACAUGCAAGUCGAGCGGAAAGGCCCUUCGGGGUACUCGAGCGGCGAACGGGUGAGUAACACGUGAGUAACCUGCCCCAGACUUUGGGAUAACCCUCGGAAACGGGGGCUAAUACCGGAUACGACACAGCUUCGCAUGGGGUCUGUGUGGAAAGUUUUUCGGCUUGGGAUGGGCUCGCGGCCUAUCAGCUCGUUGGUGGGGUGAUGGCCUAUCAAGGCGACGACGGGUAGCCGGCCUGGGAGGGCGACCGGGCACACUAGGCCUACGGCAGGGCCCAGACUCCUACGGGAGGCAGCAGUGGAGAAUAUUACACAAUGAGCGGAAGCCAGAUGCGGCGACGCCGGGUGAGGGAUGACGGCCUUCGGGUUGUAAACCUCUUUCAGCAGGGACGAGGCGUAAGUGACGGUACCUGCAGAAGAAGCGCCGGCCAACUACGUG
This 462-nucleotide ribosomal RNA is filed under the name uncultured bacterium. Its description in RNAcentral is "partial 16S ribosomal RNA". It matches the Rfam family "Bacterial small subunit ribosomal RNA", at positions 28 to 507 of the family's 1533-position model. The record is from RNAcentral.